AUGGAUAGUAAUAGGGCCCUGGGCCCAGACAAUGUUCCGGCUAAGUUCUACAAGCAUUGCUGGGAUUUUGUUAAAACGGACAUUAUGCGCUUAUUUCAUGCCUUCCACAGCAACACCCUAGAUGUGGCGCAUUUGAACUAUGGGGUGAUCACCUUGAUCCCCAAGAUCAAUGGUGCUAAAAAAAUCCAACAAUAUCGCCCCAUUUGUCUCCUUAGAUGCUCGUAUAAGCUGAUUACUAAGGUGAUGGAUAAUAGAGUGGCCAUCUUUGCUGACAAACUUAUUAGCAAACAUCAAAAUGCUUUCAUAAAGCACAGGAACAUCAUGGAUGGGAUUCUUACCCUCCAUGAGGUGCCGCAUCACACUCGUCAAAAGAAAAAAGUUGGUGUGGUGCUAAAAUUGGAUUUUGCAAAAGCCUAUGAUAAGAUAAAUUGGGAUUUUCUCCUUGAAUGCCAUGGCAACCGAGGGUUUGGAACAACCUGGUGCGGCUGUCGGUGUCAAAACCAGCGGAUCUCGGGUAGGGGGUCCCGAACUGUGCGUCUAAGGUCGAUGGUAACAGGAGACAGGGGACACGAUGUUUACCCAGGUUCGGGCCCUCUCUAUGGAGGUAAUACCAUACUUCCUGCUUGA
This 627-nucleotide ribosomal RNA is filed under the name Triticum aestivum (bread wheat). RNAcentral describes it as "partial small subunit ribosomal RNA". The record is from RNAcentral. Lineage: Eukaryota; Viridiplantae; Streptophyta; Magnoliopsida; Poales; Poaceae.